AACAGAUCAACCAACAGAUUUGGGACUGCAUGUGACCAUUAAAUGUGAUCUGGAUGAAGAUGAGGUUUAUUGGAUAUUACUGAAUCUACCAAAUCCUCCAAUGACGAUUUUGCGCUCAUUUUCAACUUCUGAAACACCUUUCUACUACAAUGAGACAUUCACACACAAAUAUUCAUUGCAAUCUAAACACCUGCUUAUAAAAAAUGUUCAUGUAGAAGAAUUAGGAGUUUAUUACUGUAUGAGCACAGGAAUAUUUCCAAAAUUUUGCAACGGCAUCAGACUACACGUUAUUGAACCAACUCAGCAAACUCAGUUCACUAAGUGUCAGAAUCACAGUGUAAUACAUUAUAUUCAGCAAAAUUACACAGUGAUGAAUAGUAUUGAACAGAAUCGGACACAUUGGAAGAUUAUUAUUCUUAUAUCUGGUGUGUUAAGUGCUGUCCUGGUCUUUGUGGCCAUUGGUAGUGUAUGUCACUACACUCGAGAACAUUUUAAACAUCAAGAUCGGGAUUUACAUCAAACUACAUUUACAUCUGUAGAACAGCUAAAGAACAGUAUAAUG
Misgurnus anguillicaudatus (oriental weatherfish) is the source of this 562-nucleotide non-coding RNA. NCBI's taxonomy places the organism in Eukaryota, Metazoa, Chordata, Actinopteri, Cypriniformes, Cobitidae. The record is from RefSeq and is a predicted model, not a curated record.